Molecule: long non-coding RNA, 1128 nt
Organism: Homo sapiens (human)
Lineage: Eukaryota; Metazoa; Chordata; Mammalia; Primates; Hominidae
Gene: TRIM52-AS1
Product: TRIM52 antisense RNA 1 (head to head)
Source: Ensembl
AUGGUGUGCCGGGGGCCGCGCGGGCCGGGAGUUGGGUGGGCUGGGGGACAGGCGCGCCCGCGCCGCCCGCUCCAGCUGGGCUAGUGCUGCACAUUCCGGCCAGCCCCUCCUCAAGACCCCAUUCCCAAGCCCCUUCUCAGCUCCCUCGGGCCGGCAGAGCGGCUCUGAUCAGAGCACCAUGGCCUGGCAAGGUCCGACGUUUUCCAAGGAUCCUGGCUGAGCUCCUGUGGAAGCUGCUUCUUACACUGAUGUGGUCCCUCGGCUGGCAGGCCCUUCUGCGGCCAACCAGGUGACACCUGCCAGUUAUGAGGGACAGGUUUUUCUGGCAUUGUCUGCCCAGCUGCUCCAAGCCAGGCUGAUGAAGGAGGAGUCCCCUGUGGUGAGCUGGAGGUUGUAGCCUGAAGAUGGCACAGCUCUGUGAUUCAUCUCCUGCGGUUGUGGCGGCCACGGUGAUGGAGACUGCAGCUCAACAGGAGUGAGAAAUGGAAUCAUCGUAUCGCUGAUCUAUGUAAACAAACUGAAGAAUUGUCUGAAAGAAAAUAUGACAUGAACUUAUGAAUUCAACAGGUGAAGAUUUACAACUUGAUAAAUCAACUGUCAGCUCGAGCUGUAAAAGCCAAAGGUCCGGUGAUGAUCCCAUACCCUUUUUUCCAGUCUCAUGUUGAAGAUUUUUAUGUAGAAGGCCUUCCCAAAGGAAUUUUUUUUUUUUUUUUUUUUGAGAUGGAGUUUUCACUCUUAUCGCCCAGGCUGGGGUGCAAUGGCGCAACCUUGCUGGUCACUGCAACCUCUGCCUCCUGGGUUCAAGAAAUUCUCCUGCCUUAGCCUCCCAAGUCACUGGGAUUACAGGUGCCCACCACCAUACCAGGCUAAUUUUUGUAUUUUUAGUGGAGAUGCGGUUUCACCAUGUUGGCCGGGCCAGUCUCAAACUCCUGACGUCAAGUGAUCUUCCCGCCUCGACUCCUGAUAUCAAGUGAUCUUCCCGCCUCGGCCUCCCAGAGUGCUGAGAUUACAGACGUGAACCCAUGCCUGGCCAGGAAUUUUGUUUUUUAGGAAGGCUUUCUACUAAUGGAAUUCCUGGCCUUGAGAGGAUGUUACUUUAGAAGGAAAGGAUUUUUUUGUUAUUAAAAG